This is a non-coding RNA of Arachis ipaensis, 109 nucleotides long. The record is from RefSeq and is a predicted model, not a curated record. NCBI's taxonomy places the organism in Eukaryota, Viridiplantae, Streptophyta, Magnoliopsida, Fabales, Fabaceae.
UCCUCAAUUUUUAAGAAAAAGUAUAGGGUAUCAACAUAUUAUCUGUCAAUUUAUUAUCAACAAUAAUUAUUUAUUAUAUUUUAAACACAUAUAUAAAGAGAUACAUCCA